AUUGAACGCUGGCGGCAGGCCUAACACAUGCAAGUCAAGCGGAUGAAGGGAGCUUGCUCCUGGAUUCAGCGGCGGACGGGUGAGUAAUGCCUAGGAAUCUGCCUGGUAGUGGGGGAUAACGUCCGGAAACGGGCGCUAAUACCGCAUACGUCCUGAGGGAGAAAGUGGGGGAUCUUCGGACCUCACGCUAUCAGAUGAGCCUAGGUCGGAUUAGCUAGUUGGUGGGGUAAAUGCCUACCAAGGCGACGAUCCGUAACUGGUCUGAGAGGAUGAUCAGUCACACUGGAACUGAGACACGGUCCAGACUCCUACGGGAGGCAGCAGUGGGGAAUAUUGGACAAUGGGCGAAAGCCUGAUCCAGCCAUGCCGCGUGUGUGAAGAAGGUCUUCGGAUUGUAAAGCACUUUAAGUUGGGAGGAAGGGCAGUAAGUUAAUACCUUGCUGUUUUGACGUUACCAACAGAAUAAGCACCGGCUAACUUCGUG
RNAcentral lists this ribosomal RNA (484 nucleotides) under uncultured bacterium. RNAcentral's name for it is "partial 16S ribosomal RNA". It matches the Rfam family "Bacterial small subunit ribosomal RNA", at positions 30 to 507 of the family's 1533-position model. The record is from RNAcentral.